AUAAUGCUUUAGUAGACGAAGGUCAAGAAGGACAUACCUUCAUCAUUUAAUACGUGAAUAGGAGUACGAAAGAAUGAACAUGAUAACUGCAUCUCAUUAACUCAUUUAUUCUUGCAUUCCAUAAAACAUAAAUGAAUAUCAACAAUGGUAAUAUUACAUUGAUACCUUCGGCUUGCCCGAAGAUGCGGGUGCGAGAAAGUGAAUACAAUCCAGCGUCAACAGUACGGGGUUACUGUUCAUCUAUUUAUAGGCACGGGACGUAGCCCGGGUAAAAUUACAUCUGUACCCUUAAACGCUUAUUUACAAGCAAAAAAAGCUAAUAAGGUCUAUUUAGUCUUUUAUUUCUUUGCUUGGUUCGAGUCAAAGCUAUUGAGCUUUGGCAUUCUGCAACGUUGGUUGUACACAAAGUCUUCGUUUUGAGAAGCAAAGCCGAGGUUGAUGAUAGCUUCGGCGAGCCUUUGUAUCAUCUUGCCGAAGGUAUUUUUUUCUUGAGGACCUUCGGUGAAGAAGACCCCCCAACAGGACCCUUCCCAAGACUACUCACUUUUGCGGUAGCUAUGUUAUACACAACAAAAAUUAGAAGUAUUUGUACAAAAACGAUGAGUUAGAUGCAUAUUCUUGCCAAUCUAGCCUUAUGGUGCUUUAAGUUUCUUCUAGGGCCACCUAAAGCCAUACCUCCCAUACAAACUAAAACCAUCAUAGAGAAGUGUUUGAAUAAAUUGUGAUCACUAUAUUUUGUAAUAUGCGACUCGUUUGGUUUGUUGAUGAUAUUUGUGAUAUGCUAUUUAUUCCUUUUCAUAUUUUCUGUAUCUUUACAAUGAUGCUAUGAUCAAUACUAGAAGAUCAUUGACACCGUCUAUACUUAAUAAAAAUAGGACAGUUGCAGUUGUACCUCCCUUUCCUUUAGAGUCUCUAUAAGUACACAUUUCACUUGUCACACCUAUAAAUGCGGGACACCUAAUCUACAGUUCGAGUUUCAUGUAGUUUCGUGUUAUUUGAUGACGUUGAAGUCAUUGGCUUACCAAAAAUGAAGAGUGUCGUUGCGAGGAUAAUUGUUAAGUUCCCUAGACACUAUGAUAGCUAACAUUUUAUUCUACAAGACAUCAUUGUGAGUCGCUUCAUCAAACAUUAAAAUAAUGUCAAUAUAGACAUGUAAUUCUCUGACUAAUACGACCUGCAUUCUAAAAUGUCUAGGGAUCAAAUCGAAGCAAUUUCAUAACACGAUAAUGUCCAAUGAUUCGACGCCUUACUCCAAAAAGGAUGUACAUAUACAUUGCAUGGAGUGGCGUUCUGUCUAAACUCGCGGGGCGUGGCAAUUUUGGAAUUUUGGACAUAGUCUAUAAUUGACAUUAGCAACACAUGCUAAUGUGGGGCCAUUCAACUUGCCAAUUCAAUUCCCUCCAUAUCCUAAACAUCUUAUGACAUUUCAUGAGGUGGUCCAACAACCUCAUAAGACGUUUGUAAGUAACGACCAAUACUUCUAUAUAGUUUAUACUUGUACUGACUGCACCCUUUAAAUUAUUCAAAUUUAAUUAACCCCAUGUGAAUUGCUUAGACUUAUUGGCAUAUUUAUUUAUUUGACAGCAUUAGAGCAUGUCGGUGGAAGGCCAUACAUAGAGGCCAUACUAAUGGAUUCCAGGCCACUGAUUCAUAACUACAAUAUUUUUUAAAACAUUGAAAAUUUGUUAGGUAUUAUUCAAACAAUUAAGCUUUAUUUAUAGGUGGGAUAUAAUCAUCAUGGGGAUAUUUACUGACCUCUUACAAUGAAAUGCUCUACGAUGGGUGUUAGCUAGAGACAACAAGAGCAUAAUUAUUGGAACUAUGUUGCGGCGUAACAAGAUACACAAUAAUUUCUCUUUUGCCUAAAAUAUUCUGACAUGUACUUAAUUUUCAUGCUUAUUAAUUCUAUAAUUCUAUACUAUAACAAUAGGAUGCUUGCAAACUUCAGACCACAUCACCAUUCAUUUAAGCCCAGAUCAUACAACACAUUCGACAAAAUGUUAGUAUCCCUAUUUUUGUUUGUCUUUGUGUUCAAUGGUACAUUCGGAGAAGCAUGAAAAGAAUGGGGAAAGAGAGUGAAAUAGGAUACUGCUUUUGACUCCAAUGUAUUUUUGCUUUGCUCCUUCUAGAACAAAAAUAAGUAGAGCUUUUAGAAUGGAGUCACAAAAAAGUGCCUUAAACCUAAAAUGUUGUGGUGCAAGUAAAACAACUUGUUUUAGAAGGAGCAAAGCAAAAAUACAUUGGGAGUCAAAAGCAGUAUUCUAUUUCACUCUCUCCUCCUUCUUUUCAUGUUUCUCUGAAUGUACUAUUAAACACAAAGACAAACAAAAAUAAGGGUACUAACAUUCUGUCGAAUAUGUUGUAUGAUCUAGGCUGAAAUAAACGGUGAUGUGGUCCGAGGUUUGCAAGCAUCCUAUUGUUAUAGUAUAGAAUUAUAGAAUUAAUAAGCAUUAAAAUUAAGUACAUGUCAAAAUAUUUUAGGUAAAGGAUAAAUUAAUGUGUAUCUUGUUACAACAUACUAUAGUUCCAAUAAUUAUGUUUUUGUUUUCUCUAGCUAACACCUAUCGUAGAGCUUUUCAUUGCAAGAGGUCAGUAAAUAUCCCCACAACGAUUAUAUCCCACCUAUAAAUAAAGCUUUGAUUGUUUGAAUAAUACCUAACAAAUUUUCAAUAUUUUAAAAAAGAAUGUAGUUAUGAAUCAGUGACCUGGAAUCCAUUAGUAUGACCUCUCUGUAGGUUUUCCACAGAAAUUCUCUAAUGACGCCAAAUAUAUAAUUAUGCUAAUAACGACUGAGCAAUUCACAUGAGGUUAGUUAAAUUUUAUUAAUUUAAAGGGUUAAGUUGGUACAAGUAUAAACUAUAUGGAAGGACUGGUCGUUACCUACAAACGUCUUAAGAGAUUAUUGGACCACCUCAUGAAAUGGUAUAAGAUAUUUAGGAUAUGGAGAGAAUUGAAUUGGCAUGUUGAAUAGCUCCACAUUAGUAUGUGUUCGCAAGGUCAAUUCUAGACUAUGUCCAAAAUUCCAAAAUUACCACGCCCACAGUUUAGACAAAACGCCAUUCCAUGCAAUGUAUAUGUACAUCUUUGUUGGAGUAAGGCAUCGAAUCAUUGGACAUUAUCAUGGUAUGAAAUUGCUUCGAUUCUUGACCCCUAUACAUUUUAGAAUGAAGGUCAUAUGAGUCAGAGAAUUACAUGGCUAUAUUGACUUUAUUUUAAUGUUUGAUGAAGCAACUCACAGCGAUGUCCUAUAGAAUGAAAUGUUAGCUAUCAUAGCGUCUAGGGAACAUAACAACUAUCCUCACAACAACACUCUUUAUUUUUGGAAAGCCAAUGACUUCAAUGUCAUCAAAUAACAUGAAACUACAAGAAACACAGACUUUUGAUUAGGUGGCCCAUGCAUAAAGGUGCGACAUGUGAAAUGUGUACUUAUGGAGACUCUAAAAGGAAGGGAGGUAUGACUGCAACCGUCCUAUUUUGGUUAAGUACAGAUGGUGACAUUGAUCUUUUAGUAUUGAUCAUAGCAUCAUUAUAAAGGUACAGAAAAAUAAGAAAGGAAUAAAUAGGAUAUCAAAAAUAUCAUCAACAAACCAAACGAGUUGCAUAUUAUAAAAUAUAGUGAUCACAAUUUAUUUAAACAAUUUGCUACGGUUGUUUUAGUGUGUAUGGGGAGUACUGCAUUAGGUGGCGCUAGAAGAAACUUAAAGCACCAUAAAGUAAGAUUGGUAGGUAGAUGCAUUUAACUCAUUGUUUUUGUACAAAUACCUAUAAAUUUUGUUGUGCAUAGCAUAGCUACCGCAAAAGUGAGUAGUCUUGGGAAUGCUCCCUUAUAACAGGGGAAGAGGAAAGACUCAGAAAUAAAUAUUGUGAUAAUAUGUUUGUGGAUUUGAGCAUAUGGAGAACGAAGCAAAAAAUAACAAUAAAAAUCUUGCAAAUUCAUGCUCUUGUUAUCGUCGCUAAAAUCACGGUUACACCUACACGAUAUUAGCACAGAAUAGAAAAUAUAAAAGGAAUUUGUAGAACAUCCCAAUGCAGUCAAGUAAAAUAGGUUACCACCUACACGAUUGAUUUUAUGUCAUGAAGCUCUAGAAUUUUUCUAUGAAGCACAGGAUUCUAUCGAAGAGCACAAGUGAAAUGGGAAAAAAUAGGUACUUGCAGUACUGCUUCUCUACCACUUUUAUUUUCGUAGUGUUCAACCCUAAAACACUAAAAUCAUGGAUAUAAACUACUUACUAUAGACAAGAAUAAAAUUUGCAAACAUUCUAGGUUGGUACAAAAACGAUCCUAAUGCAGUAUUGGAAUAGGGUACCUCCUUUACGACUGAUGUGGUCUCACGGAGUAGGAUCCUCGGGCACCAAAAUCAAAUAGAAACAGGUUACUUGAGCCUAUAUAGAAAGAUAGAGACAUCACUAAUGAUGAAUACAAUAACUCUCAACUCGGAACAAUUAAACCAGUUUCCAGGUGAACAUUAAGUGAUCAGUUUAAGGAUCUUGCAUGGAAAAUCUAACUGCUACUGCAGUUUAACAUCUAGGAAAAUCUAACUGCUAUUUUAGUUUAACAUCUAGGACAAUGAGAUUCCUUGCAUCUUGAUGUUGCUAGCUGCUAAGUGCUUGUUAUUUCAGUUUAACAUAUUGAAAGAACCAGCAAAGAUCAUGAGAUCCCAAAUUAGGUAAAAAUGGAACAUAUGAAUAAGAGUAACUUGACACAUCUCAGCCAAAAAAUUAAAACCCUAAUAAAUCUACUUUGAUCUAGAACCGAGUGAUGUCUAGUUGCAGUCCCCAACGAGAUUAAUCUCUGACCCCUGAUACUUUUAUAUUUCUAGAGAGAUUGGUAUUCUGUUUCAUAUAUGAACCAUCAUGAUUUUCAAUUAACAGACAUCUCUCAUAGACUUGUACCAUGAACCAUAAAUGAAAGAGGCGGACAUCGUUCUACCCCUCACGUGCUACAAACCACAUCCAUGUUAACCAAAUGGUGUUACAACUUGCAAGGUUAAUUUCCCGUUUCCAUAGAAAGACACUAAAUUAAGUAUUAACUGGAAACUACAAGCACAUAUAGGAAGUUACUCUUAUUAGAUCAGUUACAUUCAUCUGCUUGUUUUCCAUGUGUGAAAUAUCUAGUGCCCCAAUGUGACUUUAUAUGUCUAAGAAUGUAAGAAGUAUAUUAAUUUUGAAAUACACUAACAAUAGUCAUAACUGAAAACACAGAAAACACACUGCUAGACACACAAAAUAGGAAGCCAAGUACGUACACAAGAACUAUGUAGAGUCUUGACAAAGUGGUUUUGUCAUGUAAUCAGUAUUUAGCAAUUAUUUUUGUACACAGAAUAGGAAGGCACCAAUUUGAACACACAAGAUUCUGAUCUGGAAUAGCUGGAAGCCUGCAGACCAUAGAUAUGACAAAUAAAAUCCACACAAAAAUUCUAGAUGUAAGUUGUAUCAUUUUUAGGCAAAACAUAUGAAACAAUCAAGGCAAUGGUCUGAAAGGUGUAGUUUCUAUGCUAUUAUUGAAAGGUCAGAGGAAUCAUUGUUAUUUGGUAUUUUCUAAGAUGGAUUCAUUUAUAUUUUUUUAUAAUGAAUUCAUAUACGCUACAUAGUAUUGGUUUCUUUUAGUUUUGGGUAUUUUUUAUUAUGAAUUCCUAGUGAGACUUUCUUGUGCAUUGGCUUACUAUGUUAGCUCUUUCUACUCUUUCGCGCUCAAUAAAAGAUUGUACAUAAUAGUAUGAUAGGGAUUGGCGAUUGAUGACAGUACAAGAUUUUAUUGUUUUGCAAAAAAACUAAAGUGAUUGACCACCAUCUUAACCCAGUUUCCAGGUGAACAUUAAAUGAGGCUCACCUCCUUGGAGGAGACUGAAGAUGAAGCUCAAACUUUUUACCUUUAUCAGUGGGAGUUUCCUGCAACUGUUAAAUUAGAAAGAGUGAGUUGUAUGUAAACAUAUGUAAGAGUCUACCUAAAUGACAUGAUGUUGGUUCUAGCUAAGAUAUGUGCACUAAGAUAUGAAACCUUAUAGUUCUAAUGUUAGUCAUGUACUAUCUAAUAGUGUAAUGAUAUGUUCAGCUAGGGAUUUAGGAAUUUUGCAAAGGAUUGUAAAAAGAACAAAUAAUUGAAUAAAAGGAUGCAUUAACUUUGUGACAAAAAACAAUCCCUUCUCUCACAACAAGUAUUCUUCCACCAGUUUGAGUGAAGCGACUUCGCGACAAGUUGGGCUAUAGUUCUAUCAAACGAAAUAACCAAGGGAAACACUAACAUGUUAAUGUCAAGUGGGAUCUGCACCUUAGGUGUGCUAAGGAUAAAUAGAAACUGAAAUGAACGACAAGCAUGCUUUGCUAUUUCUGAUUUGCAUAUCAUUAUGUAAGGAGAUAUGUAACAAAUAUAUAGAACACCCAUAAAUAGAAACUAAAAUGAACACACCAAUUCAAUGAAAAAAGGUUUCUUAGUAUGAAAACAUGCCACCAACUAAAUUUUUUAAAAAUAAAUAGAAUUGACUGGACUGUACUACCAUCAUUAUUUCCAUGUGACUAGUGCACUCAGCGUGAUAAUCUCAUUAGUUAUUGGCAAUGUCAAUCAUCAGACCUAGAAAAGCACACUAAGAUAACAAUUUUUCAUAUGACCAUGAUCAUGUUGCAGACGAAAUCAAGUGCUAAAAUUGUGGAUCCACAUGAUGUAACAAAAGAAGGGCUACAAAUUUCAUAUAAGCCAAAAUUUGAACUCGCAUUGGUGCAUUUUAGUUGUUAUAAAAUGAGACUUAUUGUAAAAAGGGACAAUGUUGACGCACCUUAUGAGUUGAGCAGAUCUUCGGCAAAUGGAAUGACAGGGAAGAUGCGUUGAGAGUGGGGGUGGGUUGAGAAAAACUGGUCCAUCCUUUUAAUAGGAGUCACAACGAUACCCAUGGGGAAGAUGUUGGGUGGAAGGUUGGGCCGAAUUAGGAAUGCGCGCAUGGAUGGGGGUGCGGAUAGGGGCAUGGUGCAUGCGCAAGUUACCUACUAUGGAAGGGGGCCGCCUACUAUGGAAGCUCCACCUGUGGCACACUAACGAUGUGUAAGGAUUGAAGGUCGCCUCCAUCUAUGGAAGGAGACGCUGAGGUUGGAAGGAGGCGUGCUUCGGAGGCUGGGUCCAU
This 7111-nucleotide long non-coding RNA is filed under the name Zea mays. Its description in RNAcentral is "long non-coding RNA (ZMAY_LNC001580)". Lineage: Eukaryota; Viridiplantae; Streptophyta; Magnoliopsida; Poales; Poaceae. The record is from RNAcentral.